This is a long non-coding RNA of Homo sapiens (human), 735 nucleotides long. RefSeq annotates it as CTNNA1 antisense RNA 1. The record is from RefSeq and is marked validated. The transcript has 2 exons. NCBI's taxonomy places the organism in Eukaryota, Metazoa, Chordata, Mammalia, Primates, Hominidae.
AGGGAAGGAAGGCGGCCGAGGGGCCCGGCGCGGGGCUGCCGCGCGCGCCGAGGCCGCGGUAACAAAGUUUGGAAACCGCGAGAAAACUUUUCCAAGAGGAAACGCGGCGGCGGCGCUGGGCCUAUAGUUUCUCCUCCCCAGCCCAGGCGGCCCCCCGACUUCCCGAGCGCUGGGAAGCGCCGGCCGUGCCCGCCCGGGCCCCAUACUCGGGCCCUGCGGGGGAAGGGACCGCCGGCCCGACGCGGGUCCCACGCCCGCCCGGGGCCCAAUUCCCGGCGACGUCGCCAAAGAAACCGCGCCCCGCCCGCUCGCCCGCCCGCGGCUCGCGGGGCCCAGCUUGGGACGGCCCGGCCCAAGGACCCUCUCGGCCUGGCCCGAGAGACCGCGCCCGCGAGGAGGGAGUGGCAGAGCCAUUGAAAACACACCACUCUAUUCAGAACCCCUCCAGAAACACUGAGUACGCGUGGAUACAAAGGAGAAAACCGAAGACACCUGGGCCUACUUGAGAGCGGAGGGUGGGAGGAGCGUGAGGAUCGAAAAACUACCUAUGGCUUACUACGCUUAUUACCUGGGUGACAAAAUAAUCUUUACACCAAACCCCCAUGACAUACAAUUAAUUUAUCCAUGCACAUGUACCCUCUGAACCAAAAAUAAAAGUUGGAAAGUAAAGGAAAAAAAAAAUCACCCUCCAGUGCUUCCCAUCUCACUCUGAAUAAAAUUUAUUUGAUCUCACCC